GACGGGAGGGGCAAGCGUUACCCGGAUUUACUGGGUGUAAAGGGUCCGCAGGCGGUUAGAUAAGUCGAACUUGAAAUCCUCUGGCUCAACCAGAGGAUGGGGUUCGAUACUGUCUGACUUCGAGUCUGGAGGAGGAAAACGGAACUGCCGGUGUAGCGGUGAAAUGUGUAGAUAUCGGCAGGAACACCAGUGGCGAAGGCAGUUUUCUAUUCCAGAACUGACGCUGAGGGACGAAAGCGUGGGGAGCGAUCGGGAUUAGAUACCCUCGUA
RNAcentral lists this ribosomal RNA (270 nucleotides) under uncultured prokaryote. RNAcentral describes it as "partial 16S ribosomal RNA". It matches the Rfam family "Bacterial small subunit ribosomal RNA", at positions 524 to 792 of the family's 1533-position model. The record is from RNAcentral.